AAACGUGUUGUAAUCACUGUCGAUGAUGUGAACCGAAUCUUAGGACUUCCAAGGGAUAAUUUUGAGCCAGAUCCCUCAGAGGAUGAACUGAGACAAUUCUUUCAGGAUAUUCACUAUCAAGGUCAGAUUUUUCUCCCGAAGAUGUCAAAGGGAAAUCUGAAGGCUGAAUGGGAUGUGUUCUUUGACACCCUUGCCAAGGUGUUUGCUCCCACUAAUCGUAAGAACUUUGGGAAUAUAUCUUCAAUGCUGCAAAUCUUUGGAUUCAGCAUAGCUUAUAACCG
Molecule: long non-coding RNA, 281 nt
Filed under: Daucus carota (carrot)
Lineage: Eukaryota; Viridiplantae; Streptophyta; Magnoliopsida; Apiales; Apiaceae
Description: long non-coding RNA (DCAR_LNC006129)
Source: RNAcentral